Molecule: ribosomal RNA, 87 nt
Filed under: Plagiosiphon longituba
Lineage: Eukaryota; Viridiplantae; Streptophyta; Magnoliopsida; Fabales; Fabaceae
Description: partial 26S ribosomal RNA
Rfam family: Eukaryotic large subunit ribosomal RNA
Source: RNAcentral
GAUGCGACCUCAGCUCAGGCGGGGCUACCCGCUGAGUUUAAGCAUAUCAAUAAGCGGAGGAAAAGAAACUANCANGGANUCUCCUAU